CGCGGGGUAGAGCAGUUGGUAGCUCGUCGGGCUCAUAACCCGGAGGUCGCAGGUUCGAGUCCUGUCUCCGCAA
RNAcentral lists this transfer RNA (73 nucleotides) under Prevotellaceae bacterium. RNAcentral describes it as "tRNA-Met". It matches the Rfam family "tRNA". From Rfam's summary of the family: Transfer RNA (tRNA) molecules are approximately 80 nucleotides in length. Their secondary structure includes four short double-helical elements and three loops (D, anti-codon, and T loops). Further hydrogen bonds mediate the characteristic L-shaped molecular structure. tRNAs have two regions of fundamental functional importance: the anti-codon, which is responsible for specific mRNA codon recognition, and the 3' end, to which the tRNAs corresponding amino acid is attached (by aminoacyl-tRNA synthetases). tRNAs cope with the degeneracy of the genetic code in two manners: having more than one tRNA (with a specific anti-codon) for a particular amino acid; and 'wobble' base-pairing, i.e. permitting non-standard base-pairing at the 3rd anti-codon position. The record is from RNAcentral. Lineage: Bacteria; Pseudomonadati; Bacteroidota; Bacteroidia; Bacteroidales; Prevotellaceae. RNAcentral also lists the same sequence under 1 other name.